AGCCAGGGCCAGUGGAGGCACAGCAGUCCCCACAGUCUGGGCGACAACUCAGUGUGACAGUGGGCAUCAACCAGGACAUCCUCCAGCAAGCCUUAGAAAACAGUGGGCUGUCUUCACUUCCAGUUGCAGCACCUCCCAGCGACUGCAGCCAUGCUCAGACGUCUACAGUGUCCUCGCAGAGUCCACACACCUCCAGUGUCUCUGCAGAGCAAGCUGAUCCCAUGGAUGCAGAGCAGGAAAAGGGACAGGAAAGCCCCGAAAAGGCGGAAAAGAAAGAGAAAAAAA
Molecule: long non-coding RNA, 285 nt
Filed under: Rattus norvegicus (Norway rat)
Lineage: Eukaryota; Metazoa; Chordata; Mammalia; Rodentia; Muridae
Description: long non-coding RNA NONRATT013966
Source: RNAcentral